UACGUAGGGGGCAAGCGUUGUCCGGAUUUAUUGGGCGUAAAGAGCGUGUAGGCGGCUUCACAGGUCCGCUGUGAAAACUCGAGGCUCAACCUCGAGCUGUCGGUGGAAACCGUGUGGCUAGAGUCCGGAAGAGGAGAGUGGAAUUCCCGGUGUAGCGGUGAAAUGCGCAGAUAUCGGGAAGAACACCCGUGGCGAAGGCGGCUCUCUGGGACGGUACUGACGCUGAGACGCGAAAGCGUGGGGAGUGAACAGG
Molecule: ribosomal RNA, 253 nt
Filed under: uncultured bacterium
Lineage: Bacteria
Description: partial 16S ribosomal RNA
Rfam family: Bacterial small subunit ribosomal RNA
Source: RNAcentral